Taeniopygia guttata (zebra finch) is the source of this 3358-nucleotide long non-coding RNA. RefSeq lists it as uncharacterized. The record is from RefSeq and is a predicted model, not a curated record. NCBI's taxonomy places the organism in Eukaryota, Metazoa, Chordata, Aves, Passeriformes, Estrildidae.
UUUAAACCAUUAUCUGAUGUGUAUAUUAUUAACAGUAUUUUUUUUUCUCUAUCUCAUCUUUCUUCUUCAUCCCAAAGGUGAAGUGGUACUGAAGAAGCAAAAGAGUUCAGAAAAUGAAUAUUUCUCUUUGACUAGAUAUUCAAACAGCUCCAUAUCUAUCAAUCCCUCUUAUUCUGCACACAACUCUGCCUUCAUUACUCCUUUAGCCUCCACCCAGCAGAUUCCUUUGUUCUUUUCCCUCAAAAGAACAUGCAGUGCAUAUUGUGAACCUUAACUAAAUGAACACAGUGGCAUUUGCAAAGUGGUUUUAAGGCCGGGGUGAAAGGUGGUGUUUCAGCCCAACAGAAUGGAAUGCAAGAAACUCAGCAGUCAUACUUGAACACUGCUACUUGGCAGAUGUUCUCUGUGAACUUAUCUUAAAAAAAUUUAAGGUCUUUUGCCUGCUAUCGCUGCUGCAUAAGCAAAUGACCAGUAGUAACAGCUGCAAUAUCAAUAGCUUACAAAAGAGAGAGCGGUUCACCACAGAGCCCGGCCUGAUCACAGCUGCGACACCCGACCACUCCCUCUGAAACUGGCAUUAGCCAAGCCCUCCCUCUGGCUCAGAACUGGAACCACCCCACUGCUCCUUCUGCUAUGCUUAUUCCAAGGGAAGGUACCUGGUACCUUUUAAUAGUCCUACAAGUCCAGUGGGGAAUGGAGACUGACAGUGGACUACCAUGGCCUGAAGGAAGUCAUACCAUCACUGAGUGCUGCUGUGCCAGACAUGCGGGAACUUCAGUAUGAACUGGAGUCCAAGGCAGCAAAGUGUCAAUGUUAAUGCGUUUUUCUCCAUUCCUUUAGCAGCAGAAUGCAGGCCACAGUUCAUGUUCAUCUAGAGGGGCAUCAAGUACACCUGGAACCAACUGCCCCAGAGCUGGAAUUAGAGCGCCAGUAUUUGCCAGACAAGGAUCUGGACUGCACUGGGAUAUGGAGAGGCUCCAUAACACGUCAUCAUGUGGGGCAACAGAGCAGAGGAAAUUUUUUAGAAAGGGGAAAAGAUAUUCCAAAUCCUCCUGUUUGGCCAGUUUUGCCAUACAGAAAAGUAAGGUCAAGGGAAAUUUAAUUUUUAGGAGCAAAAUGGCAAGACGGACAUCAUCAGAUUCCAAUGGAUGUGGUCAAAAAAUAGCAGCUAUGUCCCCACCAAUUAGCAAGAAGAAAACACAGGGUUUUUUAAGGUACAGUGGGUUUGCACAGGGAUGCAUAUUCUAGAUUACAGUCAAACUGUAAACUGUCUCUAUCAAAUGACAUGGAAGAAGAAUGAUUUCAAGUGGGAUCCUGGACAAUAAGUUUUUGAAAAAAUUAAACAAGAGAUUGCUCAUUCAAUAGCCCUUGGGCUAGUAAAGCAAGGAUAAGACAUGAAAAAUAUAUUCUACACUACAUCCAGUGGAUAAUGAUCCUUCCUGGAGUCUCUGGCAAAAAGUUCAUGGGGAGACUUGAGAACAACCCCUGGUCUCAUCUGAAUUGAGAUUUCAAGGAUGGUACAGCUGACUUACAGUACUCAAACUCCACCCAACCCUCAGCUGAAUAAUGUGGUUUAGGAAUUGUAUUCCCCAGUUCAGUGCCCCCACUAAGACUCUCCAAACCACACAGCACUCUCUUUUGCUUCCCCACUUUCCCCUUUGCUGCUGUGGUGUGAUGGACAGGGAGGCAGAAAGGGCAAAGAUCAAGGGGCAAGAUAAAAACAAUUUAUUGGAAACAGCAAAGAAUAAGAAAACAAACAGUAACAAUACAAAUGACAGAGGGUACAAGAAAAUAAAUUCAUGACAAAAAAAUCCAAAUAACAGACAGUACCAGACAGUUUCCUCCACCAUGUUUACUCAACUGGAAGAGAGGUCCUUUUACCCACCCCUGGAAAAGAUGUGAAGAGAUAGAGAAUAAUCUCUCUGUCCUAGGGAUGCCCCAUCCCACCUACUGCAUAAAAUUAACCUUGUCCUGGCCAGACCCAGGACACUGGGAGAUACAGCCACUUCUGAAAUUAUUCAUCAAUUCACAAAUGCAAGAAGAAAAUAAACCAAUAUUAUUGUUUUUCCCAAAGGUGCAUUAUCACCUUAUUUUAUUUAAUUUUAAAUAAAAAUUAUACCCACAUUUCUCAGGAUUAUAUUCUUUCAUUUAAAAAUCAUGUGUGGAAAAAAAAGGCCACCUGCAGAAGACGCUGAGAGUCUGUAACAGUUUUGCAGUUAAUGCUUUUAUCCAGACAUGACUGAACUUCAUGCCCUCCCCAAGCUCUUCCCAUCUGCUCAGUGAAACAUAGGCUAAGAAAACAUGUCACCGCUGUAAAUUGAUCUUGAACUUUCCUGCUUCACAUUUAUGUCUUCCAAAAAAUCCUUAAAGCUGUAACUAGAGCAGUGAUACACUCAGGUACAAGAUGCAUGUGGUGAUGUGCUAAUCUUGAAUAUCUCUGGACCUUUCUUCCCAUGCAAGCAGCUGGUAGCAGAUAUCUGCACUGCAAACUUAAUGCAUGAGAUGAUUCUCUCACCUUGCCCCCCAAACUGGAUCAGUUCUCUCUGAUGGAUGAAGCCCAGUGUGUGCACAUUCAAGGAUGCCUGCAGAGUUACCCUCCCUCAGAAAGCCAAGGAUACUCUGAGGAGCUUGGGUCGUGGGAACUUAUUCAGAUAUUCCCACAGAAGGAAGUAAACAUAUGACUAAUAACAAAUGGCCAUGUUAAUAGCAUGGUUCUGGCCAGCAUGUCUGUGAGAAAUACAGUACCAAAAGUUAAGUUGCCUUGAACUGUGCCAGGAAACAAGAAUUCAGAGUGAAAAGUCAUAUUUUCAAAUUCAGACACUGCCAGGUUAUUUCUGACACUUCCAUCUUCAGUCGGCUUCUUCAAAGACAUCCAGAGGCCACAUGUGGCUCAAAAGAAGCCUCCUCUCCCCAAAAAGGGCUGACAAUCUCACCCAUUUUUCCUGAUAUUUAAAUUUCCAUCUUGCUUAAAUUGGAAACAGACUUGAACACCAAGUGUGGUGUGGGCAGGGCUAGCUGGAGUCUGAAGAGCAGCAUCAGCAUCCUGCAACAAGCUGCAUGAUUCUGCACUGGGUCUGGUUUGGAUGGAGCUAACUUUUAUCAUAGCAGCCUGUAUGGUGCUGUGUUUUAGGUUUGUAACUAGCACAGUGGUGAUAAUACAUCAGUGUUUUGGCUGCUGCUGAGCAAUGUAUGCACAGCAUCAAGGCCUUCUCUUUAACUCAUUCUGCCCUCUGCAGAGGGUAGGCUGGAUCCGGGCAAGAAUCUGGGAGGAAGCACAGCCACUAGAGCUGACCUUAACUGGACAAAGUAGUAAUUUAUUCCAUGUAGUGUCAUGCUUAUCAAUAAAACAGUGCUUGUA